Molecule: long non-coding RNA, 413 nt
Filed under: Brassica rapa (field mustard)
Lineage: Eukaryota; Viridiplantae; Streptophyta; Magnoliopsida; Brassicales; Brassicaceae
Description: long non-coding RNA (BRAP_LNC000359)
Source: RNAcentral
UUCAUCAUUCUCAGUCCUCUGACACAUGACACAAGUCUCAUGCUCCAUACAAGUCAAGAACCUCUUCAGCCUCGAAGCUUUCUCAAGUAUCGUCUUAUCCAGCUCUCUAACAAUCACUUUCUGCUGCGGUUGCCACACGCUGUACUCCACCAGGUAAGAGUGCGAUAUGUUGAGCACUUCAAGAUGAGGUAACCCGUCGAGGAUCUUUAUGAGCGCUUCUCGCUUGAUGGCAGAGCAUCUAAGGCUGAGUGUUUUGAGGUUAGGGAGGUAAGUGAUGAGCGUGUUGGCAAAGAAGAUCUCGAAGGGUCCCAUGAUCUUGAGCUCCUUGAAGUUCUUGCAGUUCUUGGCGAUCUCUGUUAAGAGGUAAGGCGGGUUUGCGAUGCUAGGCAUAGUUAGUGACUCGAGAUCUUUCC